Molecule: ribosomal RNA, 418 nt
Filed under: uncultured bacterium
Lineage: Bacteria
Description: bacterial SSU rRNA
Rfam family: Bacterial small subunit ribosomal RNA
Source: RNAcentral
UAUUGCACAAUGGGCGCAAGCCUGAUCCAGCCAUGCCGCGUGUAUGAAGAAGGCCUUCGGGUUGUAAAGUACUUUCAGCGGGGAGGAAGNGAGUAAAGUUAAUACCUUUACUCAUUGACGUUACCUGCAGAAGAAGCACCGGCUAACUCCGUGCCAGCAGCCGCGGUAAUACGGAGGGUGCAAGCGUUAAUCGGAAUUACUGGGCGUAAAGCGCACGCAGGCGGUUUGUUAAGUCAGAUGUGAAAUCCCCGGGCUCAACCGGGGAACUGCAUCUGAUACUGGCAAGCUUGAGUCUCGUAGAGGGGGGUAGAAUUCCAGGUGUAGCGGUGAAAUGCGUAGAGAUCGGGAGAAAUACCGGUGGCGAAGGCGGCCCCCUGGACGAAGACUGACGCUCAGGUGCGAAAGCGUGGGAAGCAAA